Molecule: long non-coding RNA, 1165 nt
Organism: Myotis daubentonii (Daubenton's bat)
Lineage: Eukaryota; Metazoa; Chordata; Mammalia; Chiroptera; Vespertilionidae
Source: RefSeq, a predicted model, not a curated record
GGCGGCCUGGAGUGAGCACAGCACUCAGGGCCCAUGGAGGCAGGUGGGAGCUUGGGUGUGGGGCCAGGGCAGCUGAGUUUUAGUCCAUGUUCUGGACCCUGCCUUGUCCCUUCCUUCCCCUUUGCAAGCCUGUUUUCUCAUCUACAAAAUGGGAAUCAUAAUAAAACUUACACCUGGGGCUGCUCUGAGGAUUCACUGGGCUGUCAAAUAGACUCAAAAAUUAGAACAUUUCAAUAAGCAAAAAUAAAUGAAAAGUUAUGCAUUAUUGCACCACCAGACAACCACUGGUAACAUUUUUAUGUACAACCUUUCAGACGUGUAAAAAUACUCCCAUAUAGGAAACUUUGUAUGUACCUAGAAGGGUCUCACAGCGCUUCACUCAGUAGUCCGCCCUGCAUGUCUCCCAUGUCAGUAAACAUUUUCAAAGGCCAUUUCAUGUUCCAUUGGAGAGACAGCUGCCGCCUCACCAUUUCCCAUUUCCCCUUUGAACGCUGCUUUGAUGCUCAUUCUUGACCACGGCACCCCUUAGUUACCUUUAGAGAAGUCACCAAAGGGUCCUCCAGGGGCGAGAUGCUCAUUUUCCUCCCCCAGCAGCCGACAGUGGCCCUUCCCACUCGCUUGCCUCUCCACGAACAAUGGGAUGAUGCUAAGGAAAUAGGAAAUGUGCUGAGGCUUCUGAAAAGCCUCUUAUUCUUUCUCCCUUGGGAAAUUAUUUUCCUAACGUCUUGGUUUUGUAGUUUUGGAUUCCCAAAGAGCUUGGUGUGAAACACAUAAUAAGCAAGGACUUCGGAGUGUUAACACUUGGAUUCAAUGCUCAGCCUACCUUAUCUGAACAAGUCACCUAACCUCUCUGAGCAGAGAUGGUACAGUGCCCCUGCUAGGCUUGCUGUGAGGGUAAAAGGAAGCCAUGGCUAGAGGACUUAGCACCGUGCCUGGUACAGUCAGACUCAAUGAAGUGUGGCUGCUACUGUUCCCUUAGUGGGAUGCUGAGGUCAGCAUAGUUUGACUGGCACCAACUCUGUAUGUCUGUUUUCAGUCACUCAAUAACAAGUGUUUGCUGAGGCCCUACUAUGUGUCUGUUCACCAGGGUAGCACUGGGGCUCCUGUGGAGACGUCCUUGCCUGUCAGUGACUUCCUGAUGGCAAACAGCUUUUCCUCUUUUCCU